Molecule: ribosomal RNA, 481 nt
Filed under: uncultured bacterium
Lineage: Bacteria
Description: partial 16S ribosomal RNA
Rfam family: Bacterial small subunit ribosomal RNA
Source: RNAcentral
GAUGAACGCUGGCGGCGUGCCUAACACAUGCAAGUCGAACGGAGAUUACGGACGGAAGUUUUCGGAUGGAAGACUGUAAUUCUUAGUGGCGGACGGGUGAGUAACGCGUGGGCAACCUGCCCUAUACAGGGGGAUAGCAGCUGGAAACGGCUGGUAAGACCGCAUAAGUCGGUUAAAUCGCAUGAUUUGAUCGGGAAAUGAGCAAUCAGGUAUAGGAUGGGCCCGCGUCCGAUUAGCCAGUUGGCAGGAUAAAAGCCUACCAAAGCGACGAUCGGUAGCCGGACUGAGAGGUCGGACGGCCACAUUGGGACUGAGACACGGCCCAAACUCCUACGGGAGGCAGCAGUGGGGGAUAUUGCACAAUGGAGGAAACUCUGAUGCAGCGACGCCGCGUGAGUGAAGAAGUAUUUCGGUAUGUAAAGCUCUAUCAGCAGGGAAGAUGAUGACGGUACCUGACUAAGAAGCCCCGGCUAACUACGUG